Molecule: ribosomal RNA, 62 nt
Filed under: uncultured Russula
Lineage: Eukaryota; Fungi; Basidiomycota; Agaricomycetes; Russulales; Russulaceae
Description: partial 28S ribosomal RNA
Source: RNAcentral
UUGACCCCACAUCCGGUGAGACUACCCGCUUAACUUCUCAUAUCAAUAAGCGGAGGAAGCAU